Molecule: long non-coding RNA, 1004 nt
Organism: Folsomia candida
Lineage: Eukaryota; Metazoa; Arthropoda; Collembola; Entomobryomorpha; Isotomidae
Exons: 2
Source: RefSeq, a predicted model, not a curated record
UAUUUAACUCAAAUAUUCAAGAAAUACAUUAAUAAUUCAAUUGUUGACUGUCAGGAAGCAGUACUAAAUAAUCCUAAAUUCCUAAAAGUAAAUGCAUGCAUGGAAGAGUUUUCGCAUACCAAAAUAUUGGUAGAGCAUGAGACUGAAAUAAAAUUUACAUUUUUGUAAUCAAUAUGAAACAUAUCAAACUCGGAUGGACCAUAUCUUGCAAUCAAUAAUUCUACCAAACUGCAUAGGCACUCUUUGGUAUUUGAAAUAAGAGAACGCAUGAAUAUUUCUAGUAUUAAUUAAGUUGAGCAUUAUCGUGUUCAUGAAUUAAUUCCCGUACACAAGAACAACAAUUAAAAAAUAAAUAUAUAUCUUUUUAGGUCACACCUUUUAUGAGUCAGUUUCGGUUCAGAUUUUCAGCAGGUGGCUUCGUUCCUGGUUAAAAAUAAAUUGCGAGAUUUGGGGCUACAAUUAUUUCAGAAUUGAGUAAAACCCAAAAUUAUGGCGACCGAACUGGACACGGAGAAACCUUGCGGUCCGAAAAAUCAGGAGCAAUCCAAAGUUAACAAAUCUAGUGAGGAAAUUGGCCUUAUCCCCGUAACAAGUCAACCCCGAACACAACCAGAAAUGAAUCAUGACCAUAUUCCAGUCGCCCCCAUGCGGUCGUUACCAUUAAGUCAUUCGCCCGAAGUGAAGGAGAACGAGUGGCCGUGUUGCUUUUGCUUCGAUCCAAGAAAAGAAAGGAUACAUCGAGAUGUUUCAAGACGACGGGAAAGAAGUCGGAGUAGUAGAAAUCCUUGCCAAAAGUAUGUGGACUGCUGCGAAACGGAUGUAAGUUGUAAGAGCUGCGAUUGUGACUCGGAGUGAACGGAUUGUCAUUAAGUAGAAAAAUUUAUUACGAGAUAUUUUGCUAAAAGUUUUGAUAUUUAAGUUCUACUUUAUCAUACAAAAUAGUUCCGAGAAUAAUACAAGCGUGGUAAAAGUCGUAAGGGUACAUAGAAAGCUUAACAAUUGAG